AGCAGGAAGCCUAACAAGCCUCAUGAGCACCAAGUGUCUCCGUGGAGAGGAGGAAAUAAAAGAGUAAACGUGGGAGAGCAGCACUGCUGUGUGCUGCAGUGGGUGCGGUGAUUAAAGGAGCUCUGUUAGUGCUUGGCUGUCCUGGAGCUCAUCAAAAAGCCUUUGAAGGGAUGGUGCCAGUUCUCCAUCACUGGUUGGGAGUUCUGCAGUGUAAAACUUCAAAAGCAGGUUGAGCACCAGCACAGGGAGCAGAUUGCAGCCUGAUGACAGCUCUGACUCCGCAUAUGCUGCGUCCUACCCAGGGAACCUGGCUACGGAGAGUUACAGAUGGCAGAAACAGAAACUGCGUUCUCCUCUUUGAACUCUGCUGCCUUAAAGCAGCUGUUGAAAUCUGCUGCCUCUGUUCAAUGUCUGAGUGUCCUAAUGAGGAAUAAACAGAAGCAUCGAAGGGAAAAAGGAGAGAAACUCCCUGCCUGCCACAGAUCCGUUGGGGUAAUUGGAGGUUCUGCGGGUACUGGGAGGUAUAAUCUCUCCAGGUCUGUGGCUUCAUUGCCUAGAUGCAGAGAGCAUGGUGUGGAGAGCAGGUGGAGGGAUAGGUAACACUGAGAUGCUGGAGCAGGUGUGGGUGUCUGACACUGAAGAGCCAGAUGCUUUCUUGUGUCUUCUGAUGAUCAACUAUCAGUUCUUGUGACUUUCAGUCUCAGUUUCAAGGUAGGAAUAUUGCCAUUGCAACCACCAGGAUUUUUUUGGUCUUAAAAUGAGCUCUGCUCUUUUUCCCUACUCUCUCCAGAAACAUCUUGAGCAGGAAGCCAAUUUCACACUUAUUCCGUUCUUCUUUUUAAUGUUCAGCUAAUUGGAGCUAUGUGUCUGGAGCUGCCUGGUCCCUGGAGCAUUCCCAUGAUGCUUGUCCCACCGUGGGAGGAGCUCAGCUGGAACCCUGCACACCAUCUGGGAGAAGAAGAAGCCUCAGAGCUGUCAGAAGGUUUAAUGGACUUAAGACAGAUGUUGAACAGGGCUCUGUGUAACAAGGGAGUUCCAGGGAUGCUGAGGUGCUGCAGAAGGUGUAUCUCCUUGCUGGGGAGGUGGAUGUGAUGCUCCUGCUGGGAUGGAGACGAGCAAAUGUUUCCAUCUUCUGUGCUGACAGUGCUGCCAUUACCAGGUGCUGUGUUGUCAAUAGUAUGAAACUGAGCUCUUUGAAGAUCUCUCGGUAACACUUCUUGAAGUGUCUUUCCUAAUUGCUUUCUUGCCUCUGAAGUAGUUGCUUUGUUCAGUUCUUGUCUCAAAUAUUGUAUCAAAGUGUUAUAAAGUGCUUUUAUUUCUAAUGAAUACUAACUAUAGUGCUAUGAAACUUGUCAAAAAAGCACCAUAGGGCAUGAAUCACACUGAAUAUAUUACAUGUGCCUUCGAUACAUUAAUGUAAACCGUUACUGGUUUUUUGCACUACCAGGCUGAUGACAGAUUAAUGAAUGAUAAAAUUAUUCAUACAUAACAUUAACUUAAGAUACAACUGGCUUCUUGGUUUGUCUUUUCUUAGGUACAAGUACUCGAGUUUGCCUGCUUGGCUAUGUUUCAUGUAGCAAAUGCUGCAUUCCAAUCCCUCCAAAGUGACAAAUUCAUGUUGUGUUUCCUUCACUUCUGAAAAAAACCCAAAGCAUAUUACCAGGGUUUGCACUUAAAACAGCUGUUACAUGUCUUUCCAGAGGCGGCUUUGCUUCAGUGGUAGAAAAUGCACUGCCAAGACUCAGACCUUUGAAGACUUUGAGGCUAAAGGAAUUUCAAUACUUUAUUUUGAGAGAGGAAAAGACUUCAGUGCAGGAUAGUGCUCCUAUGAGGAUGUCGUAUUAAAUGAUGUGUGACAUAACACAAAGACAAAGCACAAAAAUGGAAUAAAAAU
Long non-coding RNA from Pezoporus flaviventris, 1894 nucleotides. RefSeq lists it as uncharacterized. The transcript has 3 exons. NCBI's taxonomy places the organism in Eukaryota, Metazoa, Chordata, Aves, Psittaciformes, Psittacidae. The record is from RefSeq and is a predicted model, not a curated record.